AUUGAACGCUGGCGGCAUGCUUUACACAUGCAAGUCGAACGGCAGCACGGGCUUCGGCCUGGUGGCGAGUGGCGAACGGGUGAGUAAUAUAUCGGAACGUACCCAGAAGUGGGGGAUAACGUAGCGAAAGUUACGCUAAUACCGCAUACGAUCUAUGGAUGAAAGCAGGGGACCGCAAGGCCUUGUGCUCCUGGAGCGGCCGAUAUCUGAUUAGCUAGUUGGUAAGGUAAAGGCUCACCAAGGCGACGAUCAGUAGCUGGUCUGAGAGGACGACCAGCCACACUGGAACUGAGACACGGUCCAGACUCCUACGGGAGGCAGCAGUGGGGAAUUUUGGACAAAGGGCGCAAGCCUGAUCCAGCAAUGCCGCGUGAGUGAAGAAGGCCUUCGGGUUGUAAAGCUCUUUUGUCAGGGAAGAAACGGUAGAGGCUAAUAUCCUUUGCUAAUGACGGUACCUGAAGAAUAAGCACCGGCUAACUACGUG
This 484-nucleotide ribosomal RNA is filed under the name uncultured bacterium. Its description in RNAcentral is "partial 16S ribosomal RNA". It matches the Rfam family "Bacterial small subunit ribosomal RNA", at positions 30 to 507 of the family's 1533-position model. The record is from RNAcentral.